CCUACGGGAGGCAGCAGUGAGGAAUAUUGGUCAAUGGGCGUAAGCCUGAACCAGCCAAGUCGCGUGAGGGAUGAAGGUCCUAUGGAUCGUAAACCUCUUUUAUAAGGGAACAAAGUGAGGGACGUGUUCUAGUUUGUAUGUACCUUACGAAAAAGGAUCGGCUAACUCCGUGCCAGCAGCCGCGGUAAUACGGAGGAUCCGAGCGUUAUCCGGAUUUAUUGGGUUUAAAGGGUGCGUAGGCGGCCUUUUAAGUCAGCGGUGAAAGUCUGUGGCUCAACCUUAGAAUUGCCGUUGAAACUGGGGAGCUUGAGUGUGUGAGAGGCAGGCGGAAUGCGUGGUGUAGCGGUGAAAUGCUUAGAUAUCACGCAGAACCCCGAUUGCGAAGGCAGCUUGCUGCAGCAGAACUGACGCUGAUGCUCGAAAGCGCGGGUAUCGAACAGGAUUAGAUACCCGGGUAGUC
This 460-nucleotide ribosomal RNA is filed under the name uncultured bacterium. Its description in RNAcentral is "partial 16S ribosomal RNA". It matches the Rfam family "Bacterial small subunit ribosomal RNA", at positions 338 to 795 of the family's 1533-position model. The record is from RNAcentral.